Molecule: non-coding RNA, 233 nt
Organism: Pelobates cultripes (western spadefoot toad)
Lineage: Eukaryota; Metazoa; Chordata; Amphibia; Anura; Pelobatidae
Source: the annotation of a GenBank genome assembly
UGGUAAUAUAACUUAUUUAGGCCUAAUUUUAAAUGAAUAGGCACAUUUUAGCAUGGGGCAUUUUACUCGCCCUAAAGUGUUUACGCACAUGGCUUUGGUGUAUGGUGGCAGACUCCGUGGAACAUAAAGAAUUGUAAGUGUGCAAAAGAUACAGUGACCAAGUUACCUGUGGCUCUAGCAUUGUGCAUCUUGGUUUCUUUAUACAGCCUUACAAUAAAGAUGAUGCUUAAAAG